UGAGGAAUUUUGCGCAAUGGGAGCAAUCCUGACGCAGCAACGCCGCGUGGGUGAUGAAGGCCUUCGGGUUGUAAACCGCUUUCGGAGGGGAGGAAAUUCCGGUGGGAUCACCCAUCGGUUUGACCUAGCCUCGGAAGAAGGACGGGCUAAGUUCGUGCCAGCGGCCGCGGUAAUACGAACCGUCCAAACGUUAUUCGGAAUUACUGGGCUUAAAGGGUGCGUAGGCGGCCCGGUAAGUUGGGUGUGAAAUCCCUCGGCUCAACCGAGGAAUUGCGCCCAAAACUGUCGGGCUUGAGGGAUAUAGAGGUGAGCGGAACUUAGGGUGGAGCGGUGAAAUGCGUUGAUAUCCCAAGGAACACCGGUGGCGAAAGCGGCUCACUGGGUCUCUUCUGACGCUGAGGCACGAAAGCUAGGGGAGCGAACG
This 424-nucleotide ribosomal RNA is filed under the name uncultured prokaryote. RNAcentral describes it as "bacterial SSU rRNA". It matches the Rfam family "Bacterial small subunit ribosomal RNA", at positions 355 to 774 of the family's 1533-position model. The record is from RNAcentral.